This 497-nucleotide ribosomal RNA is filed under the name uncultured bacterium. RNAcentral describes it as "partial 16S ribosomal RNA". It matches the Rfam family "Bacterial small subunit ribosomal RNA", at positions 28 to 507 of the family's 1533-position model. The record is from RNAcentral.
GAUGAACGCUGGCGGCGUGCCUAAUACAUGCAAGUCGAGCGAACGGACGAGAAGCUUGCUCCUCUGAUGUUAGCGGCGGACGGGUGAGUAACACGUGGAUAACCUCCCUAUAAGACUGGGAUAAAUUCGGGAAACCGGAGCUAAUACCGGAUAAUAUUUUGAACCGCAUGGUUCAAAAGUGAAAGACGGUCUUGCUGUCACAUAUAGAUGGAUCCGCUCUGUAUUAGCUAGUUGGUAAGGUAACGGCUUACCAAGGCAAAGAAGCAUAUACAACCUGAUGGUAAAGCCGGCAACACUGGAGCUUGGUCACGAUUUAGACUGCAACGGGAGGCAGCCGUAGGGAGUCUUCCGUCAUGGGCGAAAGCCUGACGGAGCAAAGCUGCGUGAGUGCUGACGGUCUUCGGAUCCUAAAACUCUUUUAUUAGGGAAGAACAUAUGUGUAAGUAAAUGUGCACAUCUUGACGGUAACUAAUCAGAAAGACAGGGCUAACUACGUG